RNAcentral lists this ribosomal RNA (484 nucleotides) under uncultured bacterium. RNAcentral's name for it is "partial 16S ribosomal RNA". It matches the Rfam family "Bacterial small subunit ribosomal RNA", at positions 30 to 507 of the family's 1533-position model. The record is from RNAcentral.
AUCGAACGCUGGCGGCAGGCCUAACACAUGCAAGUCGAGCGGAUGAAGGGAGCUUGCUCCUGGACUCAGCGGCGGACGGGUGAGAAAUGCCUAGGAAUCUGCCUGGUCGCGGGGGAAAACGUCCGGAAACGGGCGCUAAUACCGCAUACGACCUGAGGGCGCAAGUGGGGGAUCUUCGGACCUCACGCCAUCAGAUGAGCCUAGGUGGGAUCAGCUAGUUGGUGGGGUAAAGGCCUACCAAGGCGGCGAUCCGUAACUGGUCCGAGAGGAUGACCAGUCACACUGGAACUGAGACACGGCCCAGACUCCUGCGGUAGGCAGCAGUCGGGAAUCUUGCGCGAUGGGGGAGUGCCGGAUCUAGCCAAGCCGCGUGAAUGAUGAAGGACUUCUGAUUGUUGAGCGCUGUAAGUUUUAGGGUUGGACAGUAAGUUAAUCCCUGACUGUUUUGACGUUACCAGCAGAAUAAGCACCGGCUAACUUCGUG